Molecule: ribosomal RNA, 582 nt
Filed under: Triticum aestivum (bread wheat)
Lineage: Eukaryota; Viridiplantae; Streptophyta; Magnoliopsida; Poales; Poaceae
Description: partial small subunit ribosomal RNA
Source: RNAcentral
AUGUGGACCCGUCUUCGUCAGCGCUAUCAGCCCUCUGGUGAUGCCUUAUACCUUUCUGUGGUCCGUCAGGAGCAUGCUCUUCAGCAGGGUGACUCUACUGUUGAUGACUUCUAUGCACAGAGUUCUGCUAUCUGGCGCCAGCUUGAUUCUCUCCGCAGUGCCGGUUGUCGUACCUGCCCCUGUUGCCAGGCUGUCCAGGCCAAUUUGGAGUUUCAUCGCGUCUAUGAGUUCCUGUCUCGGCUCCGUAAGGAGUUUGAGCCCCGGCGUGCUCAGUUGUUUGCUCGUGGCCGUAUUUCUCUGAUGGAGGCGCUUUCUGAGAUUCGUGCUGAGGAGACUCGCUUACGUGGUGCUGGUUUGCUGGAGGUUCCCUCUGUGCUCGCUACUCGUGCUCCUAUGCCACCUGCUGCACCGACCCCUUCUCGCUCGAGUGCUCCACCGCUCUUGUCCACUCCUUCUGGAGGCUCAGGUCGCCCCCAUCCACAUUGCGACUACUGCAACAAUGAUGUUCAUCUUGAGUCUCAGUGCUACACGAAGAACAAACACCUGCGCAAGGCGUGAUCAUCAUCUUCAGGGACUUCGUCA